Molecule: ribosomal RNA, 497 nt
Filed under: uncultured bacterium
Lineage: Bacteria
Description: partial 16S ribosomal RNA
Rfam family: Bacterial small subunit ribosomal RNA
Source: RNAcentral
GAUGAACGCUGGCGGCGUGCCUAAUACAUGCAAGUCGAGCGAACGGACGAGAAGCUUGCUUCUCUGAUGUUAGCGGCGGACGGGUGCGUAACACGUGGAUAACCUCCCUAUAAGACUGGGAUAACUUCGGCAAACCGGAACUAAUACCGGAUAAUAUUUUGAACCGCAUGGUUCAAAAGUGAAAGACGGUCUUGCUGUCACUUAUAGAUGGAUCCGCGCUGCAUUAGCUAGUUGGUAAGGUAACGGCAUACCAAGGCAACGAUGCAUAGCCGACCUGAGAGGGGGAUCGGCCACACUGGAACUGAGACACGGUCCAGACUCCUACGGGAGGCAGCAGUAGGGAAUCUUCCGCAAUGGGCGAAAGCCUGACGGAGCAACGCCGCGUGAGUGAUGAAGGUCUUCGGAUCGUAAAACUCUGUUAUUAGGGAAGAACAUAUGUGUAAGUAACUGUGCACAUCUUGACGGUACCUAAUCAGAAAGCCACGGCUAACUACGUG